This 3821-nucleotide long non-coding RNA is filed under the name Actinidia chinensis (golden kiwifruit). RNAcentral's name for it is "long non-coding RNA (ACHI_LNC007103)". The record is from RNAcentral. Lineage: Eukaryota; Viridiplantae; Streptophyta; Magnoliopsida; Ericales; Actinidiaceae.
AACAGAAGAAAUCUAGAACAAGAUCUGAGCCUCUAUACAAGGCAGAAAAAACAAAUCCCAUAGCCGGGACCAAUCAGAAUUAACUCCCAAUUGAGAUUGGAAGAUGAACCUACUAGCAAAACUAAAGAACCACUAAGGCUGACCGGGAGUAAAGUAGAACCCAACAGCAGCAUAAACAUGGGAGAGCAGCAGCAGCAAGCACUUGAGAUCUAGAGGAGACUCGGGAUCAAACCAAACCACAGCAUCAGCAACAUCAGCUAACCAGCAACAGCACACUUAAGGCAGGAUCAGAGGCAGAACUUAGGACAAACUUGGUAGCAACUCCAGCUUGGAAACUUAACCCAAUGGGAAUGAGGUUCUGCUAGAGAACUAAGUCAGACUUAGUAGCAAAAUCCAACAGCAGCAUUGACAGCAAGCAGCAGCAGCAUAACUUGGGAGAUGAGAUCGACUCAGCAUUUAAUCACAUCAGCAACUUCAACUUUGGCAGCAGAGCAGUAGGGAUAUUUAGAACUGAACCAGACCCAAACUCCACAAACAACAACAUGGAAGCAGCAGCAACAGUACCACAGCAACAGGAGCAUCAAAUAACCAGCAACAGAGGCAAACCUAGAGAACUGAACUGAACUGAACCAGAGCACAGAAGCAGAUACAGCGCAGCAGCAGUUGCCGCAGCAACAACAAAUAAUACCUUUUUUGGUUUUUAGGACUGGGCCAGCCAAAAAACAAACAAAAACAUGGAGCUGAGUCAGAAACAGAUCCAACUCCACCCCAAAACCAGGAUCUAAUCCCUUUCUCUCAACCAGAGGAACUUGGGCUCUGGGAAACAAAACCAACUCCACAAACGCAGGCGGCAGCAACAGCAGUAUCUGAAAUGCCCAGACUUUUUUUUUUCUUCCUCAGCCACUAAUAAAACAAACCCACCCCAACAAUUGGCCUGAAGACUCGUGAAUAGACUCAGAAACCGGCAACAGCAGUAUCUGAAAUACCCUGACUACCGGAAGGGAUCUGAGCCACUACCGGAAGGGGAAAUUCUGAUUUAGCCACCGGUAGAGCCCUUUACCACUACCGGUAGAGAGAAUCUGUUUUAGCCUCUGGGGGGUAACUACCGGUAAUGCACAGAGACAAUACCAGAAGACACCUGUUUUGAGCAGUAUAAACAGCAAUAGAGCAGCAGCAGCAACUACAGCAACCCCCUAACCCAGAAACUAACCCCAUAGGAGACUAGGAAGCCUAGAACCUUAGGCUCUGGGGAGAGAACAAGCAUCCAUUCAGCAAAGGAGAAACAGCAGCAAAAAGAACCUGGGAACUGGUCCAGAUUCCGCAUCUAAAGCACUGCAGCAGCAGCACCCUCAUAUCAUCAUCAGCAGCACCAAGGCCUUGCAAACAUUGCUUCAUUGCAUCUAUUGCUUUCCCCAAGGCCUUUCACCCUGCCUUUCACCCUCAUAUCCUACCUGUGAUUGCAUCUAUUGCUUCAUUUCUAGUCCUCUUAAUUAUGAUUUUGGCCACCUUGUGAAGCAUGAAACGAAGGAAACAGCAAGGUAGUGUGUGUUCUGUGGAUACGAUGGCACACAAUGAUUUUAUAUUCAGAAAUUAGAGUAGUAUGCUCUGAAAUUACAAUAUUAUGCUUACAAUGCAAAAAAUUAUCUCAUUCAUCAAUCUCGGAGCACAAUGCAAAACUUAAUGUACAAUAUGAAAUGUUGGAGUCAAGAGUAACGUUUUACAUGUUCUAAGGUUAAAAGCAUUCUAGCAACUUCCAUUAAGUACUUGGACGAGGAGGGUUUGGAAAAGUUUAUGCUGGGCAUUUGAAUGAUGGCACUCAAGUUGCCGUGAAGAUGCUUUCUGACCCAUCACCUCAAGGGUCUAAGCAAUUUCUAACAGAGGCAAGUUCCCACAUACCCAUUUUCAAGUUUCAAAUUUGAUGCCCAUAACACACUGCAAAAACUGCUCAAUUUUGCUAAUAAUUGGAUAUACAUUGGAAAUACAGGCUCAGUUGUUGACGAAAAUCCACCAUAUAAACUUGGUUUCUUUAAAUGGAUACUGCGACGAAGGUGAACACAAGGGGUUAAUAUCUGACGACAUGGCUAAAGGAAGCUUACAAGAGCAUUUAACAGGUUUGAAUUGUCUUCUGAGACACGUAUGGUUCUCGAUUUUUUAUGAAUCUUACCAAAGUGUCAUCGUCAAUUUUAAGUUUUCAAGCUCUCACGCCUAAUUAGCUAAUAUAUGAUCAUCACAGUGAAGAAAUUCUUAGGAUGUUUCACAUGGAACGAUUAUGUCUUUUACAGUAACUUAUAAGCUAUGUUUCAUAAGGGGAUCUCAUAACCAUGGUUAACAGGAAUAGAUAAUGAGAUUGAUGCAAGUCUAUAACUUUUAUAAGCUAAUCUAAAAUUAUGUGUUCUGGAUUCAAAUCUACUAGAAAAUGGUUGUAUUAAUGGCCAGUCUAGAACUAGAACAUAUAUCCUCAUAUGCUCUACCACGUUUUGCCCCCUUAACUACUGUUCACCAUAACAUUCAGUACUAGUUCAAUACAAUUUAUUUUUAAUGCUGGUACAGGUAAAAAAGAAACUAUAUUGAGUUGGGAACAGAGACUUCAAAUAGCAGUAGAUGCAGCACAAAGUUGCAACUGAAUACACACAAGAUUUUCUACUUCAAUUUCUACUAGUUUUUUGUUCAAGUAAUUUAAACUAACAGAAAAAAAAAAAAAAAAAAAAAAAAAAAAAACAAAAAAAAACCCAAAAAACUAGUAUACCGCCCCCACGUGGACUACUUGCAUAAUGCUUGCAAGUCACCAGUAAUUCAUGGAGACAUUAAGACUGCCAACAUAUUGUUGACUGAAAAUUUUCAAGCAAAAGUUUCCAAUUUUGGGAUAUCCAGAUUCAUGCCCCUUGAUGGUGAGUCUCAGGUCGCAAUUGCACUUGUUUUUACACCAGGGUACCUCGACCCAGAGUAGGUCUUUUAUUUUUUCCUCCCAACUUCAGUCUAUGUAUAAAAAAAAUUCAACUUGCUGAUAUCCAAAUUAUAAUUCAUCUGUCCGUAGAACUUGUUAUAUACUGUUAUUAUGUUCACACAAGAUACCAAACUUACUGUUAACUUUAAAGUCUUUGUAUCUUGGUGUCGUGUGUCUGUGUGUGUGUGUGUUUGUGAGAGAGAGAGAGAGAGUGGGUACCAGUGAACAUAUUGAAAAGAUCAAAGCAACAUAUCAUUAGUUUCACUUGUUGAACAAUCAAAAACAAAGAGAGAAGCCCAGAAAUAGAAUUGUCCAAAACUGUCUCAAAAUUUAAUCAUGAUGCAUGCAAUGACAACUCAUUUAUAUUUAUUCUUUUAAUGCAGAAUAACUGGCACGAUAUCUUAUUAGCCAUUAUAUGGAUAUCUUCAGCAACGAAUGGUAUAUAUGCAUAUCAUGUUUCGUGUAGGUAUCAGGAGUUGAAUUCGCUGAACAAGAAAAGUGCUGUUUACAACUUUGGGAUAGUGUUACCAGAACUGAUCACAGGCCAACCCCCAAUACUGAAAAGCCAUGAGAAGUAUUGAGAACUCUCACAUAAUCCAGUGGGUUAAGACAAAGCUUGAAACAGCUGAAAUCAAGCACAUCGUGGAUUCCCAGUUGCAAGGUGACUUUGACGCCAACUCUACCUGGAAAGCUGUGGAGACAGCAAUGGCAUGUGUGGAACGCAAUUCCAUCCAAAGGCCAGUCAUGAGUCAGGUCGUUUCGGAGCUAAGGGAAUGUUUGGAAAUGGAUAUAGUCGGAGGAAGGGCUUGGACGACAAUGGAGACCACAAUUCUCAAUCUAGCAGUUCAGCAUUGUUUGACAUUGAAAGUUCGGUAAG